Molecule: non-coding RNA, 2851 nt
Organism: Chlorocebus sabaeus (green monkey)
Lineage: Eukaryota; Metazoa; Chordata; Mammalia; Primates; Cercopithecidae
Source: RefSeq, a predicted model, not a curated record
GCCCUGGCAGCGCGUGCUCCGGGAAGGCGGGAGACCCCAGAGGGAGGGGAGAGGCAAGAGAAGCAGAGGAGAGUCGAGAUGGUGGGAGCUGGUGGGCGAGGCUGGAGGGCGGAGUGGGGGGAAGGCAGGGAGGAGGGAGAGCGCGGGGUUUGGAGUUUUUAAGAUACGAACAGCUUCCUGCGAUAUCUUCAGAAAGGAAAAUUAAACCCUCUAUCCUAAGAAGGCGCAGCAAGGGGAUGCUCGUCUCACUGCGGUCUCCCCUCGGCCUGGAGCCGCGGCCUCCCGCACCCGCCUGGGAGGCCCGGGAAGGCAGGCCUGGGGCAGAGUUGCAAGAGCCUUCGGCCGUUUCCCAUCGAGCUCCGCCUUCGGCCCGGGCUCUGCACAGCGGACUGCAGGCGGCCGCGCAAGCCUCCUGGGUAUCUGGCUGAGCCUGAGAAGCGAGACCGGCGAGAGCUGGGACUCCAGGGGAGGGGGGCCAGCCAGCAUAUCCACGCUCCAAGCCCGCUAGGGCCCAGUCUGCAGCCCAGCGUGUAGUUUCUCGCUCUUCCCUUUCUCUCCCCAGCCUGGAAGAGUGGGGGCGAGCAUGGCUUUAGGAACUCAGAAAGGCCAGGGUUCGAGUUCUAGCUCUGCCAUUUACAUGCACUGUAAACUUAGACAGUGACUUCUCCUCCCUUAGCCUGUUUCUGACCUUUAUAAUAGGAGACAAGAAGCUCUCCUCCGCAUGGAUGUGUUGAAUGAAAGAGACUGUGGAUGUAAAAUGCCUGGACCAUAGUAGGCACUUAGCAAAUUAUUUCAUCACCCCCUCUCCUUUCCCAUGAAAAACUUUCUCACUCCAAGAUACAUUCAAUAUCAGUGAGGUUCUUAAAAGCCACAGGCCCAUUCUCUGCCCACUGGGCACACCUUGUCUCAGACCCCGCUGAUGGCGCCAGUCCUCCUUAUCCGCCUGGCUGCACCACCUCACCAGGUGCCAACAACCUAGCGUGCUGGGUAAAUCCCAACUGCCACCCCCAGCCUCCAGGCUUCAUGCUCACCCUAGAGUCUCCUGGGGACUGGAGGGAAAUGCCCAGGUGUCUGGUGGGGAGGGAUUUAGGAAAUAAAAUGAUUGUAGACAAAAACUGAAUAAACACAUCAGUUACAGAGUCUCAUCUGGGUCUGCUUCGGAGGCAGGCUUGGCUCUGUCUAAUAGGGACAAGGCAGGUGUCAGUCUGAAAUGACUUGUUGCCAGGACAGGUAAGGGGAUAGUCAGAACCUGCGGUUUACCUCACAGGGUACAGAGUUGAGGAUGAAAUCAUGUUUUUCGCGUGCGUAACUUUCACACACAAAUAUAUGUGUGCACAAAUAUAUGUAUGCGUGUAAUGCCCAAGCACAUGAACUUGUGUUCAUGUGUGCAAAUAUACAUGUUCAUCUCUGUUGGCAAAAACACAGCGAGCACGAAUUUUAUCUCUGUUGGCAAAAUCACAGCCAGCACCACUAUAGCGCUAGGGUCUUACACAUGCGCAUCAGGUGUAAGUGUCCAGAGCGGGGAAGAAGGAUGCAACUGCAAAAUGGUAAAUUGCACGUUAUACCUGCACUUGCGUGCUCAGGCGAUUCUACUUAAAUCACUGCAAGUGCUCCUACGAGGUCGUUUUGCAUAUUGGAAAAAACUUGAAGUUACAAUUAUAUGUGUAUGUGCUGCAUGUGUACAGAUGCCCCAACGCGAGGGAAGGACCACUAAACCCAAAGACGCGCGUGCCCGUGUGUUCACACAGACGUGUGCUUCGGCGCCUGCACAUGGCCGGGGCGCAGGCACGCGGACGCCUACACGGAUACAUAGGCAUGUUUUAUUGACGCAUCUGGGGCACUUUCUUUCAAAGAAAGUAAGGAAUGAAAAUCCAAUCUAAGAGUCACCAGGGUUCAUCUGGAGGUCGCCCAAGGGGUAGAAAAAAUUUGUAACGACGCUAGAGUGUUUGUCCUUGGUGUAACUCCGCUCCCGGGAGGGCUGGAUACAAUACGUUUUGAAAGCUCGAGGGGCUGCCUUAGGAUCUGGGGGCGGGGGGUGGGGUACUCAGCAACUCUUGUCGCGGGCUGCUCAAGAAACGUGGAAACACACUGUGCGACUUUCCACUCCCCCGUACACGCGAUUCCGUCGCCACCUCUCGGACCAGCAGCCCACGUCCAACGCUGGGCCGACCCCAGAUACUCAAGCAGUCGGUAUUCCCGCCCGGUUCGCUUGUCUAUUCAUCCCUCUGCAUCAGGCUGGGACGCGCUCCGUCUUUAAGAGGCUCAAACGCAUCUCCUGCCGCGGGGCGGGAUCUGGGCGCCUGGGCCCCGGGGUCCAGAGGCUGGUAACUUUGCUAAUCUCCCCCAGAGGCGGGGAACGUCACGCAACCGCUGAACCCUGUCCGCGGAGACUAAACAAGGAGAGGAACAGGCUGUAAACACACAUCCUGACACGCAGGGAUGUUGCUCUUGGAGAAUGUGAAGACAGUUUGCUUCUUGACAAGCGAGCGAGCGGGCGCCCAGAUUUUUGCAGCCUUUCCGAGUCUCCCCCGAGGGAGAGGCGGCAGAGAAAACGCCGGAUUUGGGAGCCACCAGGGAAGGAUCCGCGCAGGGGAGCCGCCCUCCUUGGCCCCAGACCCGCCUGCCUGGGGCCCCCUUUGCUCACUGCCAAUGUAUGGUCUGAAGCUCUGAGGAUUGUGCUAGGGACUGGGGUCGGGGGGAAGCCUCUUGAAUAAUAACUGCAAAGAAGAAAGAGGCGAGAAUGUCCCCCUAACCUUGAAGCAGAAAGGACUGUGCUCUUAAAGCUGUUGGCUGCAGUCACAGGGCCAGUUGCCCGCCUCUAUUCCCAGAGUGAAGUGUAGCAUCUUCUGUC